AAUCAUCUAUGUUAUAAAUCACUUAUACUUUUAUCUAAUUGUUUUUUUCUGGUUUAAAAUAUAUUAUACAUAUACCUGAUUAACUUAUCUCAUAUUUUAUUUUUAUAUAAAUUAUGUACAGUUUUUGUUUCCAAAUCGAAUAUUUUAUUUUUAUAUAAAUUAUGUACAGUUUUUGUUUCCAAAUCGAAUACUCAUUUGGGUUUGAGAGAUGGCCUUAGAUUCAAGUCUCAUAUACGAUAAGAUCGAAUUAAAAGAAAAUUUAUGUUUAUAAAAUUAAAAUAAAAUAACAAUAUCAUACUUUUGUGUAAGUUAAUCAUAAUUGAAUCUUAGUGAUAAAAACACAAAAAAAGGAAUACAUACAUCUAAGAAUUAAACUAUAAUAAACAUAAAAAUUAAGGAUAUAAUUAAAAAUCCAUGAUGAGAAUUAAGAUGAUGAUUCAAACUUGUAGUGUUUAUCGACGGCAACUGAGACAUCCCAAGUGCAACUCAGACCCUUUGGCAAGAUGACAAGGUCCCCGGCCCCAAAUUCCGAUAUCAUCUCCGACGAGUUUUUCAGGCAUUUGUUUAAAGGUAGGGUGCUAUGACGCAAGCCCUUUAAAUGACCGUUUGACGAAUCCUCAAUCGACUGUUUAAAGAUAGGUGGGCUAUAUACGACGCAAGCCUUGAAGGCCGUCUAGCGCAACCUCAGAGUCGCCUUCUCUACAUGCACAAAGUACAGCUUCCAGGAGAGAGAGAGAGAGAGAGAGAGAGAGAGAUUAAUUACUUGGGCCAAGAUUUGAUACCGAGUUCAGAAAGAUGAGAUUCAGAAGGAUUCCUGUGAACAAUUAUGCUUAGAUUUGAUGAAGAUUCUCCUGCCAUUAAAGAAUUUCAAGAGUCUCUUUCUAACACACACAACACAGUUGUUUGAUCAAAUCUGAGUUUGCACACUACGUGUGUCUAUAAUGUAUAUAAGUGGAUGUUGGUAUAUAGAGAGAGACAGAGAGAGAAAGAGUGAGAUCGAUGUAUAAAACAUAUGCAUUGAAUGAGUUAAUGUCAUUUUUUUCGAGUGAUGUGGUUCAUGCACGUUUAUAAAGAAAUAAAAUAUAGUA
Molecule: long non-coding RNA, 1088 nt
Filed under: Helianthus annuus (common sunflower)
Lineage: Eukaryota; Viridiplantae; Streptophyta; Magnoliopsida; Asterales; Asteraceae
Description: hypothetical non coding rna
Source: RNAcentral